RNAcentral lists this unclassified non-coding RNA (281 nucleotides) under Lophodermium sp. RNAcentral's name for it is "partial contains 5.8S ribosomal RNA, internal transcribed spacer 2, and large subunit ribosomal RNA". Lineage: Eukaryota; Fungi; Ascomycota; Leotiomycetes; Rhytismatales; Rhytismataceae. The record is from RNAcentral.
CGCACAUUGCGCCCUCUGGUAUUCCGGGGGGCAUGCCUGUUCGAGCGUCAUUACAACCUUCAAGCUCAGCUUGGUAUUGGGUGUUUUUCGCCAGAGUUUCCUCUUCUCUUUUUGAAAAGGAACGGCGCACCUAAAAGUAAGCGGCGGUACGGCCGGUGAUCGAGCGUAGUAAAAAUCAUUUUCCCGCUCACGAAUCACCCGGAACGUCCUAGCCGGACAACCCACUGUCAUAUUUUUCUAUGGUUGACCUCGGAUCAGGUAGGGAUACCCGCUGAACUUAA